This 212-nucleotide ribosomal RNA is filed under the name uncultured bacterium. RNAcentral's name for it is "partial 16S ribosomal RNA". It matches the Rfam family "Bacterial small subunit ribosomal RNA", at positions 1289 to 1500 of the family's 1533-position model. The record is from RNAcentral.
CAGUUCGGAUUGUAGUCUGCAACCCGACUACAUGAAGCUGGAAUCGCUAGUAAUCGCGGAUCAGAAUGCCGCGGUGAAUACGUUCCCGGGUCUUGUACACACCGCCCGUCACACCAUGGGAGCCGGGAAUGCCCGAAGUCGGUGACCUAACCGGAAGGGAGGAGCCGCCGAAGGCAGGUCUGGUGACUGGGGUGAAGUCGUAACAAGGUAGC